AACGAACGCUGGCGGCAUGCCUAACACAUGCAAGUCGAACGAGACCUUCGGGUCUAGUGGCGCACGGGUGCGUAACGCGUGGGAACCUGCCUUUAGGUUCGGAAUAACUCAGAGAAAUUUGAGCUAAUACCGGAUGAUGUCUUCGGACCAAAGAUUUAUCGCCUUUAGAUGGGCCCGCGUUGGAUUAGCUAGUUGGUGGGGUAAAGGCCUACCAAGGCGACGAUCCAUAGCUGGUCUGAGAGGAUGAUCAGCCACACUGGGACUGAGACACGGCCCAGACUCCUACGGGAGGCUGCAGUGGGGAAUAUUGGACAAUGGGCGAAAGCCUGAUCCAGCAAUGCCGCGUGAGUGAUGAAGGCCUUAGGGUUGUAAAGCUCUUUUACCCGAGAUGAUAAUGACAGUAUCGGGAGAAUAAGCUCCGGCUAACUCCGUG
This 433-nucleotide ribosomal RNA is filed under the name uncultured bacterium. RNAcentral describes it as "partial 16S ribosomal RNA". It matches the Rfam family "Bacterial small subunit ribosomal RNA", at positions 29 to 507 of the family's 1533-position model. The record is from RNAcentral.